UACGGAGGGGGCAAGCGUUAUUCGGAAUUAUUGGGCGUAAAGGGCGCGUAGGCGGCUAGAUGUGUCAAAGGUGAAAUCCCUCGGCUCAACUGAGGAACUGCCUUUGAAACUGUCUGGCUUGAGGCCGGGAGAGGGUAGCGGAAUUCCCAGUGUAGCGGUGAAAUGCGUAGAUAUUGGGAGGAACACCAGUGGCGAAGGCGGCUACCUGGACCGGUUCUGACGCUGCGGCGCGACAGCGUGGGGAGCAAACAGG
RNAcentral lists this ribosomal RNA (253 nucleotides) under uncultured bacterium. RNAcentral describes it as "partial 16S ribosomal RNA". It matches the Rfam family "Bacterial small subunit ribosomal RNA", at positions 524 to 776 of the family's 1533-position model. The record is from RNAcentral.